CUGCGCUUCCGUUCGCUUGACUGGCUGCGCUUGUUUUCAGGGUUUUGGUCUGAAAACGGAUCUUACCUGCGCAGAGCAAAAUCGGUUGUAGAUUAUAUCCACGAAAAUUCCUUCUAUUAAAAUGAAUUUCAAGUCCCACCUACCCUGGAAGCAGAAAGAGAGAGAAGAGAGAGAGUAAAGAGAAAGAGAAAAGAAAGAGAAGUUGAAAAAGAGAAAGAAAACCAAGAAAGAAAGAGAAAAAAACCGAAAAUAAAUGGACAAGAAAGAAAAACGGUGAAGGUCAACCCUGUGCUCAAUUCCAGAGACUUUCCUAGGGACAUCGUGUUGGGCAUGGAGGACUAAGGCCAGUGUGAAGAUAAGUCACCGAUUCUUUAAAAAAAAAAAGCCAGUAACUUAUAAAAAUAGCCAUAAACGACGUAGUUUUUUGUUGUUGUUGUUGUUUUGAGACAGCGUCUCCCUCUGUCCCCCAGGCGGGAGUACAGUGGCAGGCACUCAGCUCACUGUAACCUCCGCCUCCUGGGUUCAAGUGAUUCUCUUGCCCCAGCCUCCAGAGUAGCCACCACGCCCGGUCCAACUUAGUUUUUUAAUACUUUUUAAAAUUUUAAGACAGGGUCUCUGCCACCGAGGCUGAAAUGCAGUGGCGCAAUCAUAGCUCACUGCAACCUUGACUUCCUGGGGUCCUGGGCAGGUGACCCCCUGUCUCAGCCUGCCGAGUAGCUGUGAGUAAAGGCCUGUGCCUCUCCACUGUGCUAAUUUUCUACUGUUUGUUGCUUUGUUUUUAAUAGAGAUGUAGUCUGGUUUUGUUGCCCAGGCUGGUCUCCAGCUUCUAGCCUCAAGCAGUCUUCCCAUCUGCUCCUACCAAAGUGCUCGGAUUAUAGGCAUGAAUCACCUUGCAUGGGAGAUAAGGACCCCCACAUCAAGCCCUCAGGUUAUUUUUGAAACACAAAUACAUAAGGCCCACAAGCAGGCCCAUUGGCUGCAGACAGUGGGGUCACCUGAAGAACUUUUCUUUGAUCUGAGUACCAACUUCUCACCUAGGUCACUGGGAUCCUGGACUACGGCACUGCUCCAGGCAGGCCUGGUUAUCCUGCUUGAGGCAGCAAUCCUCUUGAGCCUAGUGAAAUGCAACUGGCUGUACCUCAAUGAUGUUGCCCUGAGAUUCUGCCAGUCGAGGUAUUACUUCAAUCUCCUGAGACCAGCCUCUACCUCCAGAUCCAGGGAGGUCAGUGCACAUGUAAAUGGACUAGCUUUAUUAAAGGGGAUAUCUGGGCCAGGCGUGGUGGCUCACGCCUGUAAUCCCAAUACUUUGGGAGGCCGAGGAGGGCAGAUCACCUGAGGUCGGGAAUUAGAGACCAGCCUGGUUAACAUGGUGAAACGAAGUCUCUACUAAAAAUACAAAAAAAAAAAAAAAAAAAAUUAGCCAGGCAUGGUGGCACACGCCUGUAGUCCCAGCUACUCGAGAGGCUGAGACACAAGAAUUGCUUGAAUCUGGGAGGUGGAGGUGCAGUAAGCCAAGAUUGCGCCACUGCACUCCAGCCUGGGAGACAGAGCGAGACUCCGUCUCAAAAAAUAUAAAAAUAAAAGGGAUAUCUGGAUUGGCGGAGAGACUGCAGGACAGCAUUCAAGUGGGGUUGAAUUGGCCCAGUUGCAUCUGACUUCUCACUUGUAGUUCCCAAGAAUGAAUAUAGAAUGUGCUGGAAAAGCAACAUCCUGAGAGGAAGGGACCGGUGAGAAAAGGACAGGAUGUGUUCCAGAUCCCCAGAACAGGAUCCCCUUUGUUGCUUUAGGCCAACGUGCCAUGCAUCCCUGGAGCAUGAAACCCAGGAUGGGCCGCCUUCCAGCCUCCCACAGCUGUGAUGCAAGUUGAACACAUACAGAGAGACUGCAUCUGCACUGGGUGGUUUUCCUGAGCCUUGGGGAGCAGAAUGCAUGAAUCCCAGAUGGAGGAAGUGGACCAUGAGUCAAAGGAUGUAAGUGGCCUCUGGAACCUACAAAGGGUAAGGAAACAAAUUCUCCCCUGGAGAUUAAUGAAGAAUCACAGAACUAUGGACCCAUAUUAGAUAUGUGACUUACAGAAUUAUAAAAGAAUAAAUUUUUCUUGUUUUAAGCCAAUCACUGUGUAUAGCAAUAGGAAACUGAUGAAAUGAUUUUAUGUAGAAAAUUCCAAAAAAAUCUACAAAAAUCUCUAGAACAAGAAAAAUGUAAAGGUAGCAAAGUAUAAGGUCAACCUACAAAAAUAUCGUAUAUUUCAUCAGCCAGGCAUGGUGGCUCGUGCCUGUAAUCCCAGCACUUUGGGAGGCCAAGGCAGGCAGAUCACUCAAGCUCAGGAGUUUGAGACCAGGCUGGGUAACAUGGUGAAACCCCAUCUCUACAAAACACAAAAAUUUAACAGGCCAUGGUGGCACAUGCCUGCAGUGCCAGCUACUGGGGAAGCUGAGGUGGGAGGAUGACUUAAGCCUGCAGGACACAGGUUGCAGUAGCUGAGAUUGCUCCACUGCACUCCAGCCAGGAUGACAGAGUAAGGCCCUGUCUCAAAAUAAUAAUAAUAAUAAUCUUGUAUAUUUCUAUACACUAGCAAUUUGCACAUGAAACCUGAUAUUAAAAAUAAAAUACUAUGUAUGAUUGCUCCAUUAAGAAAAAGGUCAAAGAGGCCGGGUGCAGUGGCUUACACCUGUAAUCCCAGCACUUUGGGAGGCCAAGGCAGGUGGACUACGAGGUCAGGAGAUCGAGACUAUCCUGGCUAACACGGUGAAACCCCAUCUCUACUAAGAAAAUACAAAAAAAUUAGCCAGGUGUGGUGGCGGGUGCCUGUAGUCCCAGCUACUGGGGAGGCCGAGGCAGGAGAAUGGCGUGAACUCAGGAGGCGGAGCUUGCAGUGAGCUGAGAUCGCGCCACUGCACUCCAGCCUGGGCGACAGAGCAAGACUCCGUCUCAAAAAAAAAAAAAAAAAAAGGGGGGGGGCAAAGAAAUACAUGUGAAACAAAACAUUCAUAGAACUGUUAUGUUACAACUACCAAAUGCUGAUAAAAGAAAUCAAAGACAGCAAAUAGAGACAUAUACCAUAUACAUUUAUUGGAAGACUCCAUGUAAAGCAAUAUGAAUUAUACAAAUCUGACACAUAGGGUUAAUACCUUUCCUAAUUAAGGCAUUCUGCAGAUACUAACAAGGUUAGCAGUUAUGUAGAAAGACAAAAAACCCAAACACCUAAAAUAGCUAAAACAUCUGACCAACAACAACAAAAGAUUGGUAUCACUUCAUGUGAUUUCAAGUCUUCUAAUACAAUAAAAGUAUUUUUUCCCUUUCUCAUAUUUACAGUAAACCUAGUUUGUAUUUGUCAUUGUCUCGAAGCAAGAAUCUGUCCCAGAAAAAAAAAAAAGAAAGAAAGAAAAUUUCCAUUCAAAACUAACAGGAUUUAGGCCAGGCAUGGUGGCUCACACCUGUAAUCCCAGCCCUUUGGGAGGCUGAGGCGGGCAGAUCAAAUGAGGACAGCAGUUCGAGACCAGCCUGGCCAACUUGGUGAAACCCUCUCUCUACUAAAAAUACAGAAAUUAGCCAAGGAUGGUGGCAGGCACCAGUAAUCCCAGCUACUCAGGAGGCUGAGGCAGGAGACUAGCUUAAACCUGGGAGGCAGAGGUUGCAGUGAGCCGAGAUUGCGCCACUGUACUCCAGCCUGGGCAACAGAGUGAGACUCUGUCUCAGAAAAGAAAAAAAAAAAAAAAACUAACAGGAUUUAUACUAUUGGUUUUCCACAGAAUUCUCCCAGUUGCAGAGUUUCCCAAACACUAUUUAUUAGUGUGGCUUUGCAGGGUGCAGUGGCUCACACCUGUAAUCCCACCAGUUUGGGAGGCAGAGGAAGGAGGAUGACUUGAGCCCAGGAGUUCCAGGCUGCAGUGAGCUAUGAUUGCCACUGCACUCCAACCUGGCUAACAGAGCAAGACCCUGUCUCUCAAAAAAUAUAUAUAUAUAUACAGCUUCCACUCUGCCCAUCUGAGCUCUUACCUGUGUUCACACCUUUGAUCCAUUCCCUCCCAUCUGGAUUUUUUUGCUAUUUUCCCUUCACUCUCCAGAGUCCAGGGCUCUCUCCUUUGCUCCCACAUAGAGAUAAUACUCAGGUCAGGAAGACAGAUUCCUGUUUAUAAAAAAAGAGAACCAAGGUGUACUGUGGCACCUUUAAAACUCAAGCCCUGGGCUGGGUGCAGUGGCCCAGGCCUGUAAUCCCAGCACUUUGGGAUGCCGAGGCAGGCAGAUCACUUGAGGUCAGGAGUUCGAGACCAGCCUGGCCAACGUGGCAAUAUGCUGUCUCUACUAAAAAUAUAAAAAUUAGCCAGGUUUGGUGGUGGACGCCUGUAAUCCCAGCUCCCUGGGAGUCUGAGGCAGGAGAAUCACUUGAACCCGGGAGGUGGCGGUUGCAAUGAGCUGAGAUAGCACCACUGCACUCUAGCCUGGGUGACAGAGCGAGGCUCCGUCAAAGUGAAAGAAAAGAAAGAGAGAGAGAAAGGGAGGAAGGAAAGAGAGAAAGAGAAAGAAAGUCAGUCCAUGGUUUCCAAAACAUACUUCUGUUUCCAUUAAUUUAUUAGGAAUGCUCUUCCAUCUGGCUGUUGAUCUGUGUCCUGUGUAACAUCCUUUAUAACAAAUGGUACACCUCAGUAAAUUGUUUCUCCAAGUUGUGUAAAUCACUCUAGCAAUAGCAAAUUCUGGGGGCAGUUUUGUGCAACUGAGCCCUCAGCCUCCUGUGAGAUCUAAUGCUAACUCCCUAUAAAUGGUGUCAAAUUGAGUUCAAUUAGAGAACACCCAGUUUUUAUCUGAUGAAAAAUAGCUUGUUGGUGGGAAGUAAUCCCCACACAUUUUGAUGACCGGAGAUGAGGCAUUCUGUGUUGAGCAUUCACUAUUGUGUUGAUUGUGAGUAGAAAAAACACUUUGGUUUUUCCUCCUAUCUUAUACACUCACACACCCUACCCCAUCCCAGAAGUGAAGAUAGUGACCCAUACCUGAAUGAGUCAAGUCACUGCCUGCCGUCUGGCAGAAUAAGGACAGCAAAUGGAAGCUAACCUCUGAUACCAAGAAUUAGGAAAUGCACAUGCCUUAUAGACAGUUUUCCAAUUCUCAUCUUCAUCUGUAUAUUUUAAACAAAUGUGAUGUUUAUUAUAGAGAAAUUAAUCAUAAUAUCCAAUCAAUUCAUCAUUCAUCUGGAUUGAGUGUCCCCCUCUUUCCUCAUUACUGUGUGUUUCUCUACCUACCUCUCAUUCUCACCUUCUUUUCCUAGCUUUUUUUUUCUCUUUAUUUUUCCCCUAGGAUUCUCCUCAUUUCAAGCCCUUCUUCCUUCUCCUGCUCUUCCCUCUAUUCCUUCUCUUCCACUUGUUCUGCUCCUUUCUCACUUCUUUCACCUCUUAUUCUUCUUUCUGCCCAAUAUUUGUCUCCAAUUUUCAUAUAGUUCUGCCUCUUUCUUCCCCCCGUCUCUGCUGCCCCCUAGCUUCCCCUGUUAAAUCCCCUCUUCCCUGCUAUAUCCACCUGUCCCCUCUCUGGCAUCCCCAGAUCCCAGUUCUCCCCAGGCUGUGGUUCUCCCUGUGCUCUCCUUAUCACUGGCUGCCCCUCUUGCUCUCCCAGCACCAUGCUGCUCUGUCUGCCCUGGCUCCAAAUCCCUCCUUCUCUCCCCAACUCUCCAUCUGAGGAGCCUCCCCUUUUCUGCCCCUCUCCCUAUCUUGCUGAACUUUAUCUCUCUAGAAACCCAGUUUUUCUCUAAAUUUCUCUAGUUGCUUUUCUCCCCCUGCUCCUUUCUCAGCAUCUUCAUGCACUGUCUCUGCAAAUCCCUCAUCCACCAUCUACUUUGCCAUCUGUUUUGUUUUGUUUUUUGUUUUUUGAGAUGGAGUUUUGCUCGUCGCCCAGGCUGGAGUGCAAUGGUGCGAUCUUGGCUCACCGCAACCUCCGCCUCCCGGGUAAAAGCGAUUCUCCUGCCUCAGUCUCCAGAGUAGCUGGGAUUACAGGCAUUCGCCACCAUGCCUGGCUAAUUUUGUAUUUUUUAGAGACAGGGUUUCUCCAUGUUGGUCAGGCUGGUCUCAAAACUCCUGACCUCAGGUGAUCUGCCCGCCUCAGCCUCCCAAAGUGCUGGAAUUACAGGCGUGAGCCAUCGCACCCAGCUGCCGUCUGUUUAUGGGUCUCCUUCAUUCUUCUUUCCCAUUUCACCAUUUUUCUAUUUCCUCUCCUCCACACAUUCAUAGGGAGGGGACUGCAGUCAGAUCCCCACCUCAAGAGCCCAUUUCCUGUGGGAUGGAAUUUGGGACAAGAGAAACCUUAACGUCCUGAGAUAGAAGUCACGUCCCCACACUCGAUAUCAGGAGAAGGGGAGGCCUGGGGAGCAGAAGGGCCCCCGAUCAAGGAGGAAAAAGGCAGGAGAAAGUCAGGAGAGGGGCAGGGUCUGCAGGAUCCCAGGACCAGGAAGAGUUCACGGCCUCCCUGGGACUGGGGCUGCGUCGCUGCGCUCCAGGAGCUGACGAGGGAGCGGAGCAGAUGGGAAGCUCCCAGGGCGGGAAUCAACCUUGCGGUGAGGACUUUAAAAAAGGUGCGGGCCAGUGCAGGGGACACUGAAGGAUUUGAGGCAGGAAAACUCCGCGAUAAGAGCUGUCUAUAUGGCCCUGUGGCAGAAGCACGGGGGACACGACCCCAUGGAACUGUGUCCAUUAAACCUCUUUGUCUUCAUAAAUUACCCAGUCUCGGGUAUUUCUUUAUUAGCAGCGUGAGAACAGACUAAUACAGUAAAUUGGUAAUGGUAUAGAGUGGGGUGCUGCUAUAAGGAUACCUCAAAAUGUGGAAGCAAAUUUUGAACUGGGUAACAGGCAAAGGCUGGAACAGUUUGGAGGGCUCAAAAGAAGACAGGAAGACGUGGGAAAGUUUGGAGCUUCCUAGAAAAUGGUUGUUGAAUGGUUCUGACCAAAAAGUCCAGGCUGAAGGUGGUCUCAGAUGGAGAUGAGGAACUUUAUUGGAACUGGAGCAGAGGUGAGCUGCAGGGGCGGAGCCCUCAUGGAGAACCUCUGCUAGAGCAGUGCAGAAGUAAAAUGUGGGGUUGGAGCCCCCACACAGACUACUCACUACUCGCCUAGUGCAGCCGUGAGAAAAGGGCCACCCUCCUAUAGACCCCAGAAUGGUAGAUUCACCGACAGCUUGCACCAUGUGCCUGGAAAAGUAGCAGACACAACACCAGCCUGUGAAAGCAGCCAGGAGAGGAGCUGUACCCUGCAAAGUCACAGGGGCAGACAUGGGUUCCCUGCAAGACCACUGGAACCAACCUCUUGCAUAAGUGUGACCUGGAUGUGAGACACGGAGUCAAAAGAGAUCAUUUUGGAGCUUUGACUGCCCUGCUGGAUUUCAGACUGGCAUGGGGCCUGUGACCUGUUUUGGCCAAUUUCUCCCAUUUGCAACGGGCGUUAUUUAUCCAAUACCUGUGCCUCCAUUGUACCUAGGAAAUAACUAACUUGCUUUUUAUUUUACAGGCUCAUAAACAGAAGAGACUUGCUUGUCUCAGAUGAAACUUUGGACUGUGGACUUUUGAGUUAAUGCUGAAAUAAGACUUUGGGGGACUGUUGGGGAGGCAUGAUUGGUUUUGAAAUGUGAGGACAUGAGAUUUGGGAGGGACCAGGGGCAAAAUGAUAUGGUUUGGCUGUGUCCCCACCAAAUCUCAUCUUGAAUUGCAGCUCCCAUGAUCCCCACAUGUGGGAGGGACCCGGGGGGAGGUAACUGAAUCAUGGGGGUGGGAUUUUCCCAUGCUGUUCUCAUGAUAGUGAAUAAAUCUCAUGAGAUCUUAUGGUUUUAUAAAGGGCAGUUUCCCUGCACGGGCUCUCUCUUGCCCGCCACCACGUAAGACAUGUGUUUGCUCCUCCUUCACCUUCUGCCAUGAUUGUGAGGUCUCUCUAGCCGUGUGAAACUGUGAGUCCAUUAAACUUCUUUUUCUUUAUAAAUUACCUAGUCUUGUGUAUGUCUGUAUUAGCAGCAUGAGAACAGACUAAUACAACAUCCCAGGCUGCUCACCUAUCCCUGUUCUCCAAUUUGGACCAGCUGGGGAAGUCCAUCCUGCUUUCCCCAGAAAGCCUCAUGUAAAUGUUUAUGUAGUAAACAUUUGCAGACCAUAUCAGUGUAUGGCAUCAUCAUUCUCAAUAUAUAAUACAAACUUUAGGUGGACUUCAAACAAAUUCCAGUACAGCAGUCAAAAGUUCAAAUUAUCGGUCAAGCAUGGUGGCUCACACCUGUAAUCUCAGUACUUUGGGAGGCUGAGGCGGGUGGAUCACGAGGUCAAGAGAUCAAGACCAUCCCGGCCAACAUGGUGAAACCCUGUCUCUAUUAAAAAUACAAAAAUUAGCUGGGCGUGGUGGUGCACGCUUGUAGUCCCAGGUACUCAUGAGGCUGAGGCAGCCGUUUGAACCCGGGAGGCAGAGGUUGCCAUGAGCCAAGAUCGCGCCACUGCACUCCAGCCUGGUGACAGAGACUCUGCCUAAAAAAAAAAAAAAAAAAAAAAAAGUUCAAAUUGCCAAAAAUGUUGUAAGGGGAAGUAUAUGAAGUUUCUAGUUAAUCUACAAAAGCAAAAAAAACUCCCAUUCUAUGUGACCAUUCUUAAAAUUUAUGGGCCAGGCGCAGUGGCUCACACCUGUAAUCCCCGCACUUUGGGAGUCCGAGGCGGGUGGAUCACAAGGUCAGGAGUUUGAGACCAGCCUAGCCAAUAUGGUGAAACCUUGUCUCUACUAAAAAUACAAAAAUUAGCCGGGCGUGGUGGUGCGCGCCUGUAGUCACAGUUAUUUGGGAGGCUGAAGCAGAAGAAUUGCUUCAACCUGGGAGGUGGAGGUUGCAGUGAGCCGAGAUCGUGCCACUGCACUCCAGACUCUGUCUCAAAAAAAAAAAAAAAAAGAAAAUUUAUGAACAUUAAUAUUUUCCACUUACGUCACUGAGCACUACUAGGAAAAAAAAAAAAGACAUGCACUACUAGGAAAAAAAAGACAUUGUGGUACAGUAUUUUCACUCUUAUUAACAUACUUUCUUUCAUUUAAUAGUAUUUGUCGCCAGGCACAGUGGCUCACGCCUGUAAUCCUAGCACUUUGGGAGGCCGAGGCAGGCAGAUUGCCUGAGUUCAGGAGUUCGAGAACAGCCUGGGCAACAUGGUGAAACCCCGUCUCUAA
This 9158-nucleotide long non-coding RNA is filed under the name Homo sapiens (human). RNAcentral's name for it is "non-protein coding ZNF528-AS1:16". The record is from RNAcentral. Lineage: Eukaryota; Metazoa; Chordata; Mammalia; Primates; Hominidae.